Molecule: small nuclear RNA, 191 nt
Organism: Oryctolagus cuniculus (rabbit)
Lineage: Eukaryota; Metazoa; Chordata; Mammalia; Lagomorpha; Leporidae
Gene: U2
Rfam family: U2 spliceosomal RNA
About the family: U2 is a small nuclear RNA (snRNA) component of the spliceosome (involved in pre-mRNA splicing). Complementary binding between U2 snRNA (in an area lying towards the 5' end but 3' to hairpin I) and the branchpoint sequence (BPS) of the intron results the bulging out of an unpaired adenosine, on the BPS, which initiates a nucleophilic attack at the intronic 5' splice site, thus starting the first of two transesterification reactions that mediate splicing.
Source: Ensembl
AUCGCUUCUCGGCCUUUUGGCUAAGAUCAAGUGUAGUAUCUGUUCUUAUCAGUUUAAUAUCUGAUACGUCCUCUAUCCGAGGACAAUAUAUUAAAUGGAUUUUUGGAGCCGGGAGUUGGAAUAGGAGCUUGCUCCGUCCACUCCGCGCAUCGACCCGGUAUUGCAGUACCUCUGGGCACGGUGCACCCCCU